GCAUGUAUAGGUGUUGAGUCCAAUUUAAUUUCAAGAGCUAAUUGUUCUAUACAGGAAUAGAUUACAGAAAUCAACCACCCAUGAAUUAUUUCACAAAGACCUAAUUCCUUUUCAGCAUGUUAUAAUUAACAUCUGUCCUAAAGAGAACGUAGUUUUGUGGGUGACAGAAACAGCUCUAAGCAACACUCACAACAUUUACCUGCAACACAUAUACAUGCUCACAUAUAAACAUGCUAGCUGGUUGAAUUUUUAAUUCCUAAUUUUGCAACAUAUAAUUCCCAACAAUUGAAGUUUUUUCACAUACAUUACACCCUCUGGCUGAAAUUUGAGAAGGCAGGAUGAGGAUGGGGCUGCCCAUUGAGAGUCUGGUUGUUGGUGGA
Molecule: unclassified non-coding RNA, 380 nt
Filed under: Hevea brasiliensis (rubber tree)
Lineage: Eukaryota; Viridiplantae; Streptophyta; Magnoliopsida; Malpighiales; Euphorbiaceae
Source: RNAcentral